AAGUCGUAACAAGGUUUCCGUAGGUGAACCUGCGGAAGGAUCAUUCAUGUGAUUUUUCAAACACCCAACUUUUUGUUAACUAUUAGUUAAAAGUGCUCAAGUUUCUGUGUUUUUCUUUUGUUGGCUGCGUUUUCUUUCAUAUUUCCCAUUCUAUUUGCAAAGCACUCUAAACUCUAGAGGAAAAUAGUAAAAGAAAUGAUAAAUGCUACCUUUGUUUUACCUUAAAAUCUACCCAAAAUUAAUUUUACCAUAAAACACCUAUAAAUUUAUACAACUUUUAACGAUGGAUCCCUCGGCUCUCA
This 302-nucleotide unclassified non-coding RNA is filed under the name fungal sp. Its description in RNAcentral is "partial internal transcribed spacer region". The stretch from base 1 to 46 matches the Rfam family "Eukaryotic small subunit ribosomal RNA", at positions 1786 to 1831 of the family's 1831-position model. The record is from RNAcentral. Lineage: Eukaryota; Fungi.